Molecule: ribosomal RNA, 460 nt
Filed under: uncultured bacterium
Lineage: Bacteria
Description: partial 16S ribosomal RNA
Rfam family: Bacterial small subunit ribosomal RNA
Source: RNAcentral
CCUACGGUCGGCUGCAGUGAGGAAUAUUGGUCAAUGGUCGGGAGACUGAACCAGCCAAGUAGCGUGAGGGAUGAAGGUACAGAGUAUUGUAAACCUCUUUUGUCAGGGAACAAAGGCGGGGACGCGUCCCCGGAUGAGUGUACCUGAAGAAAAAGCAUCGGCUAACUCCGUGCCAGCAGCCGCGGUAAUACGGAGGAUGCGAGCGUUAUCCGGAUUUAUUGGGUUUAAAGGGUGGGUAGGGGGUCUGUUAAGUCAGUGGUUAAAGCCCGGGGCUCAACCCCGGGCCCGCCGUUGAAACUGGCAGUCUCGAGUAGGAUAGAAGUAUGCGGAAUGCGCGGUGUAGCGGUGAAAUGCAUAGAUAUCGCGCAGAACUCCGAUUGCGAAGGCAGCAUGCCGGCUCCACACUGACGCUGAGGCACGAAAGCGUGGGUAUCGAACAGGAUUAGAUACCCCUGUAGUC